Small nucleolar RNA from Tachyglossus aculeatus (Australian echidna), 137 nucleotides. The record is from RefSeq and is a predicted model, not a curated record. Lineage: Eukaryota; Metazoa; Chordata; Mammalia; Monotremata; Tachyglossidae.
CACCUCUCAGGGUCAUACCUGGAGAGUUCCAGUACUCUACCAGUCUCGGCCGUGGGAGGGAGAGUCAUGCAGAGACAUAUCCAUUCCAUUCCUAGCUUGGACAGUGGCUAGUGAUUGGAAGACCAUCUGCCACAAGU